Molecule: long non-coding RNA, 897 nt
Filed under: Gossypium barbadense (sea-island cotton)
Lineage: Eukaryota; Viridiplantae; Streptophyta; Magnoliopsida; Malvales; Malvaceae
Description: long non-coding RNA (GBAR_LNC019830)
Source: RNAcentral
UUUUAUUUCCCAAAACAAAACAUUUGCAGCCUAAAAUUUUAAAACAAAAGGUGCAGCCCCUCUUCUCUGCUAGGGUUUCUUUCAACCCGCCCUUCACGCCGCGUUCUCAGGUGAUUCGGCCGAUCCGAAUCCCGGCACCAAAUUUGGCUCCGAUUCAGGCGAAGCAGACAUGGGUCUCAACGGCGAAACCCCGAAGGUAAUAUUUUUAUUUUUUUAUUCAAUAUAAAAAUAGAAAAUAAAUAAAACACCGAAAAUAAAAAAAACAGAGAUGCAAUUCACCUCUUUUGAUUCUAUUUCUCUGUUUUCAAUCUCCCAAUUUACAGUAUUCUCCCCAUUUUCAGUAUACAAAUUUGGCUUUAUAUAGCCCGAUAAAAUGCUUUAUUUUUACAAUAUUUUCUUCUUGGACUCUUAGUCUGUGUUUGCAGGUAUCAUGGGGAGUGGUUGGUUCCGAAACGUGCGCCGAUUGGCGUCUUGCUGGCGAUGCUGGAGACUGUUGGGGGGCUGAAUGCUGCGGCGCCAAACCUGCUGCUACCUGCUUAGGGUUUCGGUGUUUUGGGGGUUUGGGUUAGUUGUUUGGGUAAUUGGGCUUAGGUUAAUAAUUGGGCUUUGUAAAAACUGGGCCGUUUAUUUUGUUUUUUUGUUUUAGUUCUGCAUGCGGGCCCAGGUAAAUUGGGCUUAUUACAUACAAUAAUUAGUUAUUUUAAAAUAUAUUAUGGUAGUUCUACCAAAAAAUAUAUAUUAUGGUAGUUAUAUUAAAAAUGGUAUGAUAAUAAUAGUAUAAUUUAGAUUUAUUAGUUAUAUGAAAUAUGUACUGUAGUUCCAUUAAAAAAGUUGUGUAAUUUUAUUUUUUUGAUUUAAAAUAGACUUAUAAUUUGAGAAGAAGUUUAAGCAUAAAAU